AUGGCUACGAUGUGCCCCACAGCUGGGAUGUUCCCCACGGCUGGGACAUGCCCCACAGCUGGGAUGUUCCCCAUGGCUGGGACAUGCCCCACAGCUGGGAUGUUCCCCAUGGCUGGGACAUGCCCCAUGGCUGGGAUGUGCACGGGAGCCGGGACGUGCACCGGAGCUGGAAUGUGCCCCAGAGCUGGGACAACUGGGAUGUGCCCUGCAGCCCGGGUGGCCAGGACAGCCAGGAUGUGCCCUGUGGCCAGGGCUGCUGGGAUUUGCCCUGCAGCCGGUGCUGCUGUGACACCUCCGGCAGGCAGAGGCAGCCGUGCCAUGCCCCGUGGCCAGGGUGGCCGUGCCGUGCCCCGUGGCUGUGCCAUGUGGAGCUGUGCCACGCCGCGCAGCGGGUGCCGCUGGCCCAGCCUGCCGGCCCCGUACGUCACCUGUCGCUGUAAUAGGAGGAGAGCAGGGCGCGGAUCUCCGCCGAGACGGCGUUAUCCUGCAGCAGGAGCCCUUCGCAGGCUGAGGGCGGCACGGCAGGGCCGGGCAGGGCUGCACCGUGGGAGGGCACGGCCAGGGGCAGAGAGAGGCAGAGGACAGCAGAGAGAAGGCAGGAGGUUAGGGAGGCGCAGGUGGCAGGAGAGGCUGGUUAGCGGAGAAGAGGAAGGUGAGGAGGAAGAUGAGGAAGAUGAAGAGGAAGGCGAGGAGGACGAUGAAGAGGAAGGUGAGGAGGACGAUGAGGAGGACGAUGAGGAGGAAGGUGAGGAGGCCACGCGCUGGCCGUGCUCACCCAUCUCGUGGUACAGCGAGCCCUGCCGGGGCAGGGGGGCAGGCGGCCGGCGCGGCGGCGGCACCUCGAUGCGCAUCAGCUCAUCACAGCACUGCUUCCACUGGCCUGCGGGGAGCAGAGGGGCCGGACUCAGUGCACCACAGGGAGGGGUCCUGGUCCCCGUUCCCGCACGCACUCAUGUCGUAGAAGUGCUGCCAGAAGGCCUCCAUCCAGCGCUGCGUCUCGGCGCGGCUCUCGGCCAGCAGCGUGUGGGUCACCUCCUCAGCCCCGUAGCGGUUGGUGACGGACAUGCUGUGCAGCUUCCCGCGCGCCUCCUGCUCCGUGGCGCGGAUCCGGGUCUCCUGCGGGGCACGCCGCGGUCAGCCUGCACCCCUGCGCCCCCCAACCCCCCGGCCCGGCCCCUACCUUGUUGA
This 1188-nucleotide long non-coding RNA is filed under the name Cairina moschata (Muscovy duck). Its description in RNAcentral is "domestica (muscovy Duck (domestic type)) lncRNA (ENSCMMG00000009161.1)". Lineage: Eukaryota; Metazoa; Chordata; Aves; Anseriformes; Anatidae. The record is from RNAcentral.